AGCGAACGCUGGCGGCAGGCCUAACACAUGCAAGUCGAACGGAUCCUUCGGGAUUAGUGGCGGACGGGUGAGUAACACGUGGGAACGUGCCCUUUGGUUCGGAACAACUCAGGGAAACUUGAGCUAAUACCGGAUGUGCUCUUCGGGGGAAAGAUUUAUCGCCAUUGGAGCGGCCCGCGUCUGAUUAGCUAGUUGGUGAGGUAACGGCCCACCAAGGCGACGAUCAGUAGCUGGUCUGAGAGGAUGAUCAGCCACACUGGGACUGAGACACGGCCCAGACUCCUACGGGAGGCAGCAGUGGGGAAUCUUGCGCAAUGGGCGAAAGCCUGACGCAGCCAUGCCGCGGGAAUGAUGAAGGUCUUAGGAUUGUAAAAUUCUUUCAGCGGGGACGAUAAUGACGGUACCCGCAGAAGAAGCUCCGGCUAACUUCGU
This 432-nucleotide ribosomal RNA is filed under the name uncultured bacterium. Its description in RNAcentral is "partial 16S ribosomal RNA". It matches the Rfam family "Bacterial small subunit ribosomal RNA", at positions 29 to 506 of the family's 1533-position model. The record is from RNAcentral.